RNAcentral lists this ribosomal RNA (493 nucleotides) under Enterococcus faecalis. RNAcentral's name for it is "bacterial SSU rRNA". It matches the Rfam family "Bacterial small subunit ribosomal RNA", at positions 465 to 956 of the family's 1533-position model. The record is from RNAcentral. Lineage: Bacteria; Bacillati; Bacillota; Bacilli; Lactobacillales; Enterococcaceae.
UCCCCUGACGGUAUCUAACCAGAAAGCCACGGCUAACUACGUGCCAGCAGCCGCGGUAAUACGUAGGUGGCAAGCGUUGUCCGGAUUUAUUGGGCGUAAAGCGAGCGCAGGCGGUUUCUUAAGUCUGAUGUGAAAGCCCCCGGCUCAACCGGGGAGGGUCAUUGGAAACUGGGAGACUUGAGUGCAGAAGAGGAGAGUGGAAUUCCAUGUGUAGCGGUGAAAUGCGUAGAUAUAUGGAGGAACACCAGUGGCGAAGGCGGCUCUCUGGUCUGUAACUGACGCUGAGGCUCGAAAGCGUGGGGAGCAAACAGGAUUAGAUACCCUGGUAGUCCACGCCGUAAACGAUGAGUGCUAAGUGUUGGAGGGUUUCCGCCCUUCAGUGCUGCAGCAAACGCAUUAAGCACUCCGCCUGGGGAGUACGACCGCAAGGUUGAAACUCAAAGGAAUUGACGGGGGCCCGCACAAGCGGUGGAGCAUGUGGUUUAAUUCGAAG